This is a non-coding RNA of Oryza glumipatula, 194 nucleotides long. The record is from Rfam. Lineage: Eukaryota; Viridiplantae; Streptophyta; Magnoliopsida; Poales; Poaceae.
AAAGACUCAAUUCCUGAGUUUUUUAUCCAACGUUUGACCGUUCGUCUUAUAUGAAUUUUUUUAUGAUUAGUAUUUUCAUUAUUGUUAGAUGAUAAAACAUGAAUAAUAUUUUAUGUAUGACUUAUCUUUUUAAAUUUUUUCAUAACUUUUUUAAAUAAGACAAACGGUUAAACAUUAGACACGGAAACCCUAAG